This 422-nucleotide ribosomal RNA is filed under the name uncultured bacterium. Its description in RNAcentral is "bacterial SSU rRNA". It matches the Rfam family "Bacterial small subunit ribosomal RNA", at positions 355 to 774 of the family's 1533-position model. The record is from RNAcentral.
UGAGGAAUAUUGGUCAAUGGGCGGGAGCCUGAACCAGCCAAGUCGCGUGAAGGAAGAAGGAUCUAUGGUUCGUAAACUUCUUUUGCAGGGGAAUAAAGUGCAGGACGUGUCCUGUUUUGUAUGUACCCUGAGAAUAAGGAUCGGCUAACUCCGUGCCAGCAGCCGCGGUAAUACGGAGGAUCCGAGCGUUAUCCGGAUUUAUUGGGUUUAAAGGGUGCGUAGGCGGUUUGAUAAGUCAGCGGUGAAAGUUUGCAGCUUAACUGUAAAAAUGCCGUUGAAACUGUCGGACUUGAGUGUAAAUGAGGUAGGCGGAAUGCGUGGUGUAGCGGUGAAAUGCAUAGAUAUCACGCAGAACUCCGAUUGCGAAGGCAGCUUACUAAGCUACAACUGACACUGAAGCACGAAAGCGUGGGGAUCAAACA